RNAcentral lists this transfer RNA (17 nucleotides) under Oryzias cf. songkhramensis AN-2019. RNAcentral describes it as "partial tRNA-Tyr". The record is from RNAcentral. Lineage: Eukaryota; Metazoa; Chordata; Actinopteri; Beloniformes; Adrianichthyidae.
GGUAAGGUGGCUGAGAA